RNAcentral lists this ribosomal RNA (229 nucleotides) under uncultured bacterium. RNAcentral's name for it is "partial 16S ribosomal RNA". It matches the Rfam family "Bacterial small subunit ribosomal RNA", at positions 524 to 751 of the family's 1533-position model. The record is from RNAcentral.
UACGAAGGGGGCUAGCGUUGCUCGGAAUUACUGGGCGUAAAGGGAGCGUAGGCGGACAUUUAAGUCAGGGGUGAAAUCCCAGAGCUCAACUCUGGAACUGCCUUUGAUACUGGGUGUCUUGAGUGUGAGAGAGGUAUGUGGAACUCCGAGUGUAGAGGUGAAAUUCGUAGAUAUUCGCAAGAACACCAGUGGCGAAGGCGGCUUACUGGUCCGGGAACUGACGCUGAGG